GUCAUUUGUAGUCCGGCUUUGGAAUUCUCUUAAGCAAAACCCCUGUGCUUCACUUGGUUGCAGUUUCUGCAGGAAGGACGGACAUGACAGGGCUUUCAUUCUUUAGCUUCUAGAUCAUCGCCUGAACUCAAUAACCUCCGUAAAUCUAAAAAAUCAUUCAAUCAGUCAAAGUUCCCCGACACAAAAUUAAGAAACCUCUCAAAGCCCAAAACUGAUCAACUUCAAAGGCAAACCAACAACACUGAUGCUACUUUGACAGGUAAUAAUAGUCUUUCUUCACUAAUCUCUCAGCUUAAAAAAACCCAACUCCAACCAAAAGGUUAUUUCAUAGAAAAGGAGCCUGCCUCGUGGAUAUUGGCUUGCGAUACAUUAUUCUGCUGCCUGUCAGAGAAGUGUAUGCCAAGAGAGGCAGGUGCAUUAUCGAGGAAACUCGGGGAGGGAGGUUACUUGCCUGACAUUUCGACGUCUAACAUCCCAGUGACUUGUUUGUUAUAGGGUUUGGAUGUCAAUGAGACGUGUGGGAUGUUGGAUAGAUUUAUUGAGCAGGGUGCGAAGUUGGGGUUUAGCAUUUACAUUGAAUUGAUUGAAACUUUGUACAAGGCAGGAAGAGGUAUUGAGGGUGAUCCGUAAUAGAAUCAAAUGGUCAAAGAUGGACUUGUGUCAGAUGUCUUUUCUUAUAACAUGCCAAUUGAUUGCUUCUGCAAAGCCAAUGUGAUGAACGAGGCAGCAAAGGCUUUCAAAGUGAUGCAAGAUAGAGGUUGAUGAUGCUUUAGGCUGUUUCAGUGAAAUGGUGGAGUGGGGUAUCUCUCUUAAUGCUGUCACGCACAAUAUAUUGAUUCGUUCUCUGUAUGUUAGAGGGGAUGCUGCUAGAUCAAUGAAACUCUUGCUAGACAUGCAAAAACAUGGAAAAAGCCUUGAUAUUUUAUCUGCAUUUCUUGUUGGGGUGUCUAUAUUCUGCUGCAACCUAGUUGUUUGACAGAUAACGAACAGAUGUUCCUAAAAAAUUAGUGAUUUUAAUUUGGGAGCAUUAACGAUAAUUUUCUGAUCCUUCACAGGGAAGGCAGACGAAGAUGGGCCUCAAACAGGCACAGGAAUUGCUGGCGGUAUGCCUCAAACAGGCACAGGCAUUGUAGAUGCUGAUCCGGCUGAAGUUGUUGCAAAAGCUUUGCUAUGUUUCAACAAUAAAUCCGUUAGUGGGAUCUUGAUUUUAUCCACCCAUGGUAGGAUACGUGCGGUCGAGUACGUUGAAAUAUGUUCGAUUAAUCAUCGCUGCUUCACCCAGUGAUCCUUUUAUGUGCUUGUUUCUGACUUGCAUAUUAAUGUUGCCUAUUAGGUUUAUAAUUUCCUUCACUUCCCUCCACUGCUGGGUUAAGUACUUGCGUUUCUGGGAGCUGUCUCUGGUGUGGCCUUUCUUAGGCCUUGGUCUUUGUUCAUUUUCUCUUUAGCACCAAAAGAGUUAUCAUGUGAAACGUUUAAUCAGUGGUCAAAAUAUUCUUUCAUGCUUCUUACGAAUUGCUUUGGCAUUGAUUUUUGCUAAGUCCCGGAUAUACAGCAGCUAUCAAGAAGCCUAUAGAUUGACCUAGACUGGUAACCUUAAUGUGCUUCCUGAACAUGUUGAUCCCUACUGCAAUGGACCGUGCCUUUCAGAGACACAUUUGGUGCUCAACUGCAUCGAAAACAUCACGAAAAACUUUGUUUUCUAUAAUAAAGCCACCAUAGAGGAUGUUCGAGACACAAUCAAGGCAGGAUGUAGCUACGGUCCCGAAAGAGGUAAUUUUGACGUGUCUGAGCACCUUCAAGCUGAACAAAACAAUGCAUACAACACCGCGAAUCAGAUUCUGCUAGGACUUGGCUUCAUGUUUGCUUUGCCUGCGUUAUUGCUUUGAUAUUUAUUAUGAUGUCUGCAAUUUGUGGUUGGAGGUUUCUUGUUUUCAGAGGGAUUUCUCCCAGUUGAGAUGUUCUGAGAGAGGAGACGAGCGUUAUUUUUCGCUAGCUUGAAGUUAAUGUACUCAUUUUGGCACUCAGAAAGAAAAUAACAAGUUAUAUUUGUGUCCUGGUAUGUAAUAGCAAAAUGUGCAGUUUUGAAAGCUU
Molecule: RNA transcript, 2091 nt
Organism: Populus nigra (black poplar)
Lineage: Eukaryota; Viridiplantae; Streptophyta; Magnoliopsida; Malpighiales; Salicaceae
Exons: 3
Source: RefSeq, a predicted model, not a curated record